UUUGGAAAUUGCACAAUGGGCGCAAGCCUGAUGCAGCGACGCCUGCGUGAGGGAUGACGGCCUUCGGGUUGUAAACCUCUUUCAGUAGGGACGCAGGCCUCAGUUUUUGUUGGGGUUGACUUUACUUACAGAAGAAGCGCCGGCUAACUACGUGCCAGCAGCCGCGGUAAUACGUAGGGCGCAAGCGUUGUCCGGAAUUAUUGGGCGUAAAGAGCUCGUAGGCNGGUUUGUCGCGUCUGUCGUGAAAACCCACAGCUUAACUUGUGGGCUUGCGGUGGGUACGGGCAGGCUUGAGUGCGGUAGGGGAGACUGGAAUUCCUGGUGUAGCCGGUGGAAUGCACAGAUAUCAGGAGGAACACCGGUGGCGAAGGCGGGUCUCUGGGCCGUUACUUGACGCUGAGGAGCGAAAGCAUGGGGAGCGAACAGGAUUAGAUACCCUC
RNAcentral lists this ribosomal RNA (440 nucleotides) under Buchananella hordeovulneris. RNAcentral's name for it is "bacterial SSU rRNA". It matches the Rfam family "Bacterial small subunit ribosomal RNA", at positions 356 to 789 of the family's 1533-position model. Lineage: Bacteria; Bacillati; Actinomycetota; Actinomycetes; Actinomycetales; Actinomycetaceae. The record is from RNAcentral.